CCAUUUCACCAUGCCUUGCUCCGAUUCCUCCGUUUCCGUAAUUUCGCAAUGCACAAUUUACCCCGACCAGAAAUCCGCCGUCAAGUCUCUCAAGCUCUCCGUCUCUGAUCUUCCCAUGCUCUCCUGCCACUACAUCCAGAAGGGCGUCCUCCUCGACUCCCCGCCCUUCUCCGUCGUCGACCUCCUCCCCUCCCUCAAACACUCCCUCUCCCUCGCCCUCUCCCACUUCCCAGCCCUGGCCGGUCGAUUCGAGACGGACGCAGACGGUCACGUCCACAUUGUCUGUAACGACACCGGCGUCGGUUUCGUGCACGCCAAAGCCAAGAACCU
Molecule: long non-coding RNA, 330 nt
Filed under: Malus domestica (apple)
Lineage: Eukaryota; Viridiplantae; Streptophyta; Magnoliopsida; Rosales; Rosaceae
Description: long non-coding RNA (MDOM_LNC011549)
Source: RNAcentral